MicroRNA precursor from Oryza rufipogon (brownbeard rice), 206 nucleotides. It matches the Rfam family "MIR812 microRNA precursor family". The record is from Rfam. Lineage: Eukaryota; Viridiplantae; Streptophyta; Magnoliopsida; Poales; Poaceae.
UUUAAAUGCAACCAUAAGUUUUUCGUACCCAACUUUAAUUGUUCGUCUUAUUUGAAUUAUUUUUAUAAUUAGUAUUUUUAUUGCUAUAAGAUGAUAAAAUCUGAUUAGUACUUUAUGCGUGACUUAUGUUCUCGAAUUUUUUUAAAACAUUUUUAAAUAAGAUGAACGGUCAAAAUUUGGCACAGAAAAUCAUGGCAGCACUUACA